RNAcentral lists this ribosomal RNA (492 nucleotides) under uncultured bacterium. RNAcentral describes it as "partial 16S ribosomal RNA". It matches the Rfam family "Bacterial small subunit ribosomal RNA", at positions 29 to 507 of the family's 1533-position model. The record is from RNAcentral.
AGUGAACGCUGGCGGUAGGCCUAACACAUGCAAGUCGAACGGCAGCACAGUAAGAGCUUGCUCUUACGGGUGGCGAGUGGCGGACGGGUGAGGAAUACAUCGGAAUCUACUUUUUCGUGGGGGAUCACGUAGGGAAACUUACGCUAAUACCGCAUACGACCUACGGUUGAAAGCAGGGGAUCUUCGGACCUUGCGCGAUUGAAUUAGCCGAUGUCGGAUUAGCUAGUUGGCGGGGUAAAGGCCCACCAAGGCGACGAUCCGUAGCUGGUCUGAGAGGAUGAUCAGCCACACUGGAACGGGGACACGGUCCAGACUCCUAAGGGAGGCAGCAGUGGGGAAUAUUGGACAAUGGGCGCAAGCAUGAUCCAGCCAUACCGCGUGGGUGAAGAAGGCCUUCGGGUUGUAAAGCCCUUUUGUUGGGAAAGAAAAGCAGCAGGUUAAGACCCCGCUGUUCUGACGGUACCCAAAGAAUAAGCACCGGCUAACUUCGUG